UACGGAGGAUGCGAGCGUUAUCCGGAUUUAUUGGGUUUAAAGGGUGCGUAGGCGGCCUGCCAAGUCAGCGGUAAAAUUGCGGGGCUCAACCCCGUACAGCCGUUGAAACUGCCGGGCUCGAGUGGGCGAGAAGUAUGCGGAAUGCGUGGUGUAGCGGUGAGAUGCAUAGAUAUCACGCAGAACCCCGAUUGCGAAGGCAGCAUACCGGCGCCCGACUGACGCUGAGGCACGAAAGUGCGGGGAUCAAACAGG
Molecule: ribosomal RNA, 252 nt
Filed under: uncultured bacterium
Lineage: Bacteria
Description: partial 16S ribosomal RNA
Rfam family: Bacterial small subunit ribosomal RNA
Source: RNAcentral